GUGGGGAAUAUUGGACAAUGGGGGGAACCCUGAUCCAGCCAUGCCGCGUGUGUGAAGAAGGCCUUUUGGUUGUAAAGCACUUUAAGCGAGGAGGAGGCUACCGAGAUUAAUACUCUUGGAUAGUGGACGUUACUCGCAGAAUAAGCACCGGCUAACUCUGUGCCAGCAGCCGCGGUAAUACAGAGGGUGCAAGCGUUAAUCGGAUUUACUGGGCGUAAAGCGCGCGUAGGUGGCCAAUUAAGUCAAAUGUGAAAUCCCCGAGCUUAACUUGGGAAUUGCAUUCGAUACUGGUUGACUAGAGUAUGGGAGAGGAUGGUAGAAUUCCAGGUGUAGCGGUGAAAUGCGUAGAGAUCUGGAGGAAUACCGAUGGCGAAGGCAGCCAUCUGGCCUAAUACUGACACUGAGGUGCGAAAGCAUGGGGAGCAAACAGGAUUAGAUACCCGAGUAGUCC
RNAcentral lists this ribosomal RNA (451 nucleotides) under uncultured bacterium. RNAcentral's name for it is "partial 16S ribosomal RNA". It matches the Rfam family "Bacterial small subunit ribosomal RNA", at positions 354 to 796 of the family's 1533-position model. The record is from RNAcentral.